UGAGGAAUAUUGGACAAUGGGCGAGAGCCUGAUCCAGCCAUGCCGCGUGCAGGAAGACGGUCCUAUGGAUUGUAAACUGCUUUUAUACGGGAAGAAACACCCUCUCGUGAGGGGGCUUGACGGUACCGUAAGAAUAAGGAUCGGCUAACUCCGUGCCAGCAGCCGCGGUAAUACGGAGGAUCCAAGCGUUAUCCGGAAUCAUUGGGUUUAAAGGGUCCGUAGGUGGAUGAUUAAGUCAGAGGUGAAAUCCUGCAGCUCAACUGUAGAAUUUGCCUUUGAUACUGGUUAUCUUGAAUUAUUAUGAAGUAGUUAGAAUAUGUAGUGUAGCGGUGAAAUGCAUAGAUAUUACAUAGAAUACCAAUUGCGAAGGCAGAUUACUAAUAAUGGAUUGACACUGAUGGACGAAAGCGUGGGGAGCGAACAGGAUUAGAUACC
This 435-nucleotide ribosomal RNA is filed under the name uncultured bacterium. Its description in RNAcentral is "bacterial SSU rRNA". It matches the Rfam family "Bacterial small subunit ribosomal RNA", at positions 355 to 786 of the family's 1533-position model. The record is from RNAcentral.